This 486-nucleotide ribosomal RNA is filed under the name uncultured bacterium. Its description in RNAcentral is "partial 16S ribosomal RNA". It matches the Rfam family "Bacterial small subunit ribosomal RNA", at positions 30 to 507 of the family's 1533-position model. The record is from RNAcentral.
AUUGAACGCUGGCGGCAUGCCUUACACAUGCAAGUCGAACGGCAGCACGGGUGCUUGCCCCUGGUGGCGAGUGGCGAACGGGUGAGUAAUACAUCGGAACAUGUCCUGUAGUGGGGGAUAGCCCGGCGAAAGCCGGAUUAAUACCGCAUACGAUCUACGGAUGAAAGCGGGGGACCUUCGGGCCUCGCGCUAUAGGGUUGGCCGAUGGCUGAUUAGCUAGUUGGUGGGGUAAAGGCCUACCAAGGCGACGAUCAGUAGCUGGUCUGAGAGGACGACCAGCCACACUGGGACUGAGACACGGCCCAGACUCCUACGGGAGGCAGCAGUGGGGAAUUUUGGACAAUGGGCGAAAGCCUGAUCCAGCAAUGCCGCGUGUGUGAAGAAGGCCUUCGGGUUGUAAAGCACUUUUGUCCGGAAAGAAAUCCUUGGCCCUAAUACGGUCGGGGGAUGACGGUACCUGAAGAAUAAGCACCGGCUAACUACGUG